RNAcentral lists this long non-coding RNA (1428 nucleotides) under Struthio camelus australis. RNAcentral describes it as "lncRNA (ENSSCUG00000002131.1)". Lineage: Eukaryota; Metazoa; Chordata; Aves; Struthioniformes; Struthionidae. The record is from RNAcentral.
AUGCUGCCUGCCCUAAUGACAAAUUGUAAUCACUGUCCAGGCACUUGCAGUGUUUGCCAUCUCUGCAGUGCUCACAGUGCCUCCUCAGGCUGUAGAAGAGAGAUGUCUCCAGAAACACAGAGAAUAACACGAUUGUGGAUACUGGCAGUUGAUUUCCCCUGUACCAGAGGAUGUUGCCUCUUUGGCAAAAUGACUCCUGUGUCUGUACACUGUCUUCUCAAGUGUUCUACGGGCCUGUUUGCAAGGCUGCUGAGCCCUCUGUGUGCAGGAGAUCUGUCCUUCUCUCCAAGCCUCCCUGCCUUGUCUACCAGGUCCCCAGAGACCCUCCUCUAGGCAGCCUUACGGACAGAAGUAGCUCUGAGCUCUUCCUGAUUAGUCCUAUCCUGCCAGUGUGCCCUCACUCCUUCCUUCCCUUAGAAAUGGAGUAGUUCUGAGCUGCUCUCAAGAAGAGAUGGUAUCCACCUGAGAGCUUACAUGCAACACGAGGUUGGGGGCUCAAAUUUACAAGGCUGUAUCUGGUAAACCUUUUAUAACUGCACUUUGGUGUGUACAGAAAGAUCAUGUGUGCUGCUUCUGUUUUUUUCUCCUAGGAGCUGUAAAAUCAUCUCAGUAUGGUAAUGUGGAACUUAUGGAUUAUGCAAGAGUUGGCUGUAUGUACAUGGUGUUAGAAAAUUGAUUUGUUUUAUUUUAAGACUAUUUAAUUGUAGUCCAAAAGCACCUGGUUACUUGUCCUCCAUUCUUGGCCAUUUCUCUUGUACUUGGUUCUUAGCUGUGAUAGUAUAUACAGCUGUGUGUUAGUUUCCUUACCUGUAGACUAUGUUCCUGGGCAUUAUGGAUAUGAAUGUAAGAAUAUGUGGCAAGGCUGCAGUGAUAAUGAGCAGAGUUAACUGCAGUGGCUCAUCUGGACUGGAUCAUUCAUCUGUACCUUUCACUGAUGUUUUUUGUCUCCUUUUUGUCCCAUUCUAAAUGAGAACAAUUCUCAGGAAGUCUAAAAAAGUGACUUCCUUAUGAAAGAGCUUACCUUGAUGUCAUUGGAUAUUGCUGUUAUCCCAUAAUUUAUGGAGGAGGUAGAAUAACAGGGCAUGAGUCCCAUCCUACAGUGCUGAUUCAUUCUUAGCUCCUAUACAAAGACUGCUAGGUUUUCAUUUGGUAGCCUAUAUACAGAUGGUAUGAUUUCAGUUUUUUGUCUGGGAUGUUCCCUCCCGUUUCAUGCACUUCGCUUCUCUAAAGGGUGGUCACGUCUAACCUUUAGUGCUCUUAGAAUGGGAAGAGAGGGGUCACCGCUCCACAGUUACCAUGCGCAUGCUAUCUGUCAUAGCCAGGUUUGAUGCUCUUCUUUAUUACAGAUGUUGAGAGUUACCUGAAGCACACUUUCCUGAAUUUGCAGAUUCUGGCUAUUGGAUAUAGAGUUGAGCGACUGCCUCAUCA